This 383-nucleotide unclassified non-coding RNA is filed under the name uncultured bacterium. RNAcentral describes it as "contains 16S-23S intergenic spacer region". The record is from RNAcentral.
UCCUAGUUUCCUAGGCAGUUCCAUCAAAGUGCUCCGACUAGCGGAUUGCAACUGACAGUAGGGGUUGCGCUCGUUAAAGGACUUAACCCAACAUCUCACGACACGAGCUGACGACAGCCAUGCAGCACCUGUGCAUACGUUUGAGUAAACCCAAAAGAUCGUGUUUCCACGACUGGCAUAUGCAUGUCAAGUCCAGGUAAGGUUCCUCGCGUAGUGUCGAAUUAAACCACAUGUUCCACCGCUUGUGCGGAUCCCCGUCAAUUCCUUUAAGUUUUAAUCUUGCGAUCGUACUCCCCAGGCGAAUCACUUAACGCGUUAGCUUUGAUACCAAUCUGGCUAAGCCAAACUGACAUCUAGUGAUCAUCGUUUACGGCGUGGACUAC